RNAcentral lists this ribosomal RNA (245 nucleotides) under uncultured bacterium. RNAcentral's name for it is "partial 16S ribosomal RNA". It matches the Rfam family "Bacterial small subunit ribosomal RNA", at positions 524 to 768 of the family's 1533-position model. The record is from RNAcentral.
GACGAACCGUCCAAACGUUAUUCGGAAUCACUGGGCUUAAAGGGUGCGUAGGCGGUCCGGGAAGUUGGGUGUGAAAGCCCUCAGCUCAACUGAGGAAUUGCGCCCAAAACUGCCGGGCUGGAGGGAGACAUAGGUGAGCGGAACUUAGGGUGGAGCGGUGAAAUGCGUUGAGAUCCUAAGGAACACCAGUAGCGAAAGCGGCUCACUGGGUCUCUUCUGACGCUGAAGCACGAAAGCUAGGGGAG